GGUGACUCAGUGGUAGAGUGCUUGCCUUGCAUGCAUGAGGCCCUGGGUUCGAUUCCUCAGUACCA
Non-coding RNA from Dipodomys ordii (Ord's kangaroo rat), 65 nucleotides. The record is from Rfam. NCBI's taxonomy places the organism in Eukaryota, Metazoa, Chordata, Mammalia, Rodentia, Heteromyidae.